GACGAACGCUGGCGGCGUGCUUAACACAUGCAAGUCGAACGAAGUGGCGAACGGGCGAGUAACGCGUAAACAACCUGCCAUUCUGCGGGGGACAACAGUUGGAAACGACUGCUAAUACCGCAUACUGAGGGAGGGGUUUGCGUCUGAUUAGCUAGUUGGAGGGGUAACGGCCCACCAGGGGGAUGAUCAGUAGCCGGUCUGAGAGGAUGAACGGCCACAGUGGGACUGGGACCCGGCCCAGACUCCGACGGGAGGCAGCAGGGGGGAAGUCGCCGCAAUGGACGAAAGUCUGACGGGGCAACGCCGCGUGAGUGAUGAGGGCUUUCGGGUUGUAAAGCUCUGUUAAUCGGGACGCGGUACCGGAAUAGAAAGCCACGGCUAACUACGUGCCAGCAGCCGCGGUAAUUC
This 408-nucleotide ribosomal RNA is filed under the name uncultured bacterium. RNAcentral's name for it is "partial 16S ribosomal RNA". It matches the Rfam family "Bacterial small subunit ribosomal RNA", at positions 28 to 526 of the family's 1533-position model. The record is from RNAcentral.